RNAcentral lists this long non-coding RNA (995 nucleotides) under Anser brachyrhynchus (Pink-footed goose). RNAcentral describes it as "lncRNA (ENSABRG00000020179.1)". The record is from RNAcentral. Lineage: Eukaryota; Metazoa; Chordata; Aves; Anseriformes; Anatidae.
UGGAGACAAAUCACUUCGUUUCUGUCUUCCAGCUCCUUCGUCUGUUAAAAUGCAGCUAAUGAUAGUGAUUUCCUUCAUUAAACAUCUUCAGAUCACCAAUCCAAUCCACUAUUUAAAAGUUAAGUAUUACUUAUUACUAUACUCCCCCCUUCUACAAUGAUCCCUGUGCAGAAUGUAAGCCUGAAGCACAUGCUUGACUGACUUUGUAAAUUGAAAUAGACUGAAGCAUAUGUUUAACAUCUGUCUUUAAUUGGGUACCUAUAGAUGGAGACGAACCUGUGAAGCAUUUCGAAGUCUCUAAUUUCUAAAUUUGCUGCUUUCCAGCACACACCAAAACUCCUGUUUGCUCAUCCUCAGGGGAAUAUUACCACACUCAUCUUUCUCAGCAGUCUUUUCGAAGAGGAGCAGUGUGCCCUGCCUGAAAGGAGUUUUAUUAGUAAAAUGAACUUUUAUUUAACUCUUUACAGUUAACUUGCUAGUUUCGUCAUUUAUUCUGAAUUAGAAAAAUAGUCCUAUAAUGUCCUAUAUUAUAGUCCUAUAAUGUUUGUUAUUUUUUUUCUUAAGAUUGCAUCCAUACGAUUCUACUCAUUAAUUCUAUUUGUUAAUUCUUUCAUGGUUUUGAAUUGAGUUAACACUGGUUUGUCAUGGAGGCCACACUUCUAGAACUAUGAUCGUGACAGCACCUGGCUCCAUUUCAUCUGAUUGUCUUCUCGUAUGCUGAAACAUUUCAUCCCAGGACUGCCACAGAAUGGAGGGUCUGAAGGUCAGAAUCACUGUCAACUCCCCAGAGAUGUGAAAAGCACAACCGUAUUUCACCUCCUUCACAAGGAACAGCCCUGGAGAUGUGAAAUCUUAGUAGGUGGUAUCUCUUCUGCUCCAUGACAAUUAAUGGAAAAGGCGGUUUGUUGCAUCUGCAAUGUCACUCCCGUGAACAUCCCAUUUACCUGGGAGCCUGGUGAAGAGGGCAGGGAAUGAAGACCUGAAAGGCAGCCUGG